AACGCUAGCUACAGGCUUAACACAUGCAAGUCGAGGGGUAACAAGAGAAAAGCUUGCUUUUCUCGUUGACGACCGGCGCACGGGUGAGUAACGCGUAUCCAACCUACCCACAACUAGAGAAUAACCUUGCGAAAGUAAGACUAAUGCUCUAUAAUUUCCUUAGAUGGCAUCUGACGAGGAAUAAAGAUUUAUCGGUUAUGGAUGGGGAUGCGUCUGAUUAGCUUGUUGGCGGGGUAACGGCCCACCAAGGCAACGAUCAGUAGGGGUUCUGAGAGGAAGGUCCCCCACAUUGGAACUGAGACACGGUCCAAACUCCUACGGGAGGCAGCAGUGAGGAAUAUUGGUCAAUGGGCGGAAGCCUGAACCAGCCAAGUAGCGUGCAGGAUGACGGCCCUAUGGGUUGUAAACUGCUUUUAUACAGGAAUAAAGUUAGCCACGUGUGGUUAUUUGUAGGUACUGUAUGAAUAAGGACCGGCUAAUUCCGUGCCAGCAGCCGCGGUAAUACGGAAGGUCCAGGCGUUAUCCGGAUUUAUUGGGUUUAAAGGGAGCGUANGCCGUCUGUUAAGCGUGUUGUGAAAUGUAGAUGCUCAACAUCUGAAUUGCAGCGCGAACUGGCAGACUUGAGUGUGCGCAACGUANGCGGAAUUCGUGGUGUAGCGGUGAAAUGCUUANAUAUCACGAANAACUCCGAUUG
This 694-nucleotide ribosomal RNA is filed under the name uncultured bacterium. Its description in RNAcentral is "bacterial SSU rRNA". It matches the Rfam family "Bacterial small subunit ribosomal RNA", at positions 32 to 715 of the family's 1533-position model. The record is from RNAcentral.